GGACUUACCAUUGAGUUGGGAAAAUAUCAAGUCAAGAACAAGCUGGACAGAACUGAACACAUGAAAGGAUAGAAUAUACACAUUAUGUCGGCAGAGAAGAAAGGGCAGAGUGACUAGCCCAGAGAUCCAGACCCAGCCUCAAUGCUCCCACCUGCAACUGUUUAACAGCAACUAAACCUUUCCUGGACACAGGUUCCUCAAGGGCUGAACAUUUGAGAAACCUAUUAUCAUUAUCAACCUAUUAUCAACAAAGAUGUUAUCAUUGUCUACUGGUUGCUUCUCUCUCUGGGCUUGUUAAGGUAGAGCUGUCAGAGACUUGUAAGGUGGGUGUGGGCAAGGGGUUGGACUCAGAGACCCAUCUGUAGGCUCAGGGGCUGGCCCUAGCCUGGGCACAUUGGCCUUCAGGCCUAACAGCCUCAAGUCUUCUAUGGAGUCUUGAUGCAUCUGGUGGGAAGACACUGGGGAGGGGACUAAGUUCCCUAAUUUCUUAAAUCUUCUCAAACCUGAGGGAGACUUCAUAAAGCCUUUAAAGUACAUUAACUGAACUUCAACACCUGGGCAACAAUGAGUGGCAUCUAAUGUUAUAAUCGUAUCUCUCCUUUGCAGCAAGACACCUAAGUUGAUCCUGGAGCUGCCACUUCUCCUUUACUUCCACGUACUGUUUCUACCCAUUCCCCCAGCCCAACACCUCCAGGCGUGACUCUUUUCUAGCCAGAUCCUCAGCCAAAUGCUAGAAACACAAUGCUGUAAGCAGACAAGGAGGGAAAAAUCAAAGUGCAGGCAGUAAGCCUCCUACCCUGCAGCAAAUCAUACAUGGACAAACGCAGGGUCCAUUCAUCCUUUCUUUCACACUGUUGUUGUUGCUCAUCUCUAUUUCAUCUCAACUACUCCAAAGACAGGAGGAGGCCAAGGUCUAUAGUAUUUUAAAGGAGAGUUCUCAUACUCUAGACUAAUAAAGCC
RNAcentral lists this long non-coding RNA (960 nucleotides) under Homo sapiens (human). Its description in RNAcentral is "HSALNT0183027". The record is from RNAcentral. Lineage: Eukaryota; Metazoa; Chordata; Mammalia; Primates; Hominidae.